Molecule: transfer RNA, 75 nt
Filed under: Mycobacterium sp.
Lineage: Bacteria; Bacillati; Actinomycetota; Actinomycetes; Mycobacteriales; Mycobacteriaceae
Also listed under: 5 other names
Description: tRNA-Gln
Rfam family: tRNA
About the family: Transfer RNA (tRNA) molecules are approximately 80 nucleotides in length. Their secondary structure includes four short double-helical elements and three loops (D, anti-codon, and T loops). Further hydrogen bonds mediate the characteristic L-shaped molecular structure. tRNAs have two regions of fundamental functional importance: the anti-codon, which is responsible for specific mRNA codon recognition, and the 3' end, to which the tRNAs corresponding amino acid is attached (by aminoacyl-tRNA synthetases). tRNAs cope with the degeneracy of the genetic code in two manners: having more than one tRNA (with a specific anti-codon) for a particular amino acid; and 'wobble' base-pairing, i.e. permitting non-standard base-pairing at the 3rd anti-codon position.
Source: RNAcentral
UCCGUCGUGGUGUAAUCGGCAGCACCUCUGAUUUUGGUUCAGAUAGUUCAGGUUCGAGUCCUGGCGACGGAGCCA